UGGGGAAUAUUGCACAAUGGGCGCAAGCCUGAUGCAGCCAUGCCGCGUGUAUGAAGAAGGCCUUCGGGUUGUAAAGUACUUUCAGCGGGGAGGAAGGGAGUAAAGUUAAUACCUUUGCUCAUUGACGUUACCCGCAGAAGAAGCACCGGCUAACCCCGUGCCAGCAGCCGCGGUAAUACGGAGGGUGCAAGCGUUAAUCGGAAUUACUGGGCGUAAAGCGCACGCAGGCGGUUUGUUAAGUCAGAUGUGAAAUCCUCGGGCUCAACCUGGGAACUGCAUCUGAUACUGGCAAGCUUGAGUCUCGUAGAGGGGGGUAGAAUUCCAGGUGUAGCGGUGAAAUGCGUAGAGAUCUGGAGGAAUACCGGUGGCGAAGGCGGCCCCCUGGACGAAGACUGACGCUCAGGUGCGAAAGCGUGGGGAGCAAACAGG
Molecule: ribosomal RNA, 429 nt
Filed under: Chloroflexota bacterium
Lineage: Bacteria; Bacillati; Chloroflexota
Description: Chloroflexi bacterium partial 16S ribosomal RNA
Rfam family: Bacterial small subunit ribosomal RNA
Source: RNAcentral